UGGGGAAUCUUGGACAAUGGGCGCAAGCCUGAUCCAGCCAUGCCGCGUGCAGGAUGACGGUCCUAUGGAUUGUAAACUGCUUUUGUACAGGAAGAAACAGUUCUACGUGUAGAACCUUGACGGUACUGUAAGAAUAAGGAUCGGCUAACUCCGUGCCAGCAGCCGCGGUAAUACGGAGGAUCCAAGCGUUAUCCGGAAUCAUUGGGUUUAAAGGGUCCGUAGGCGGUUAGAUAAGUCAGUGGUGAAAGCCCAUCGCUCAACGGUGGAACGGCCAUUGAUACUGUCUGACUUGAAUUAUUAGGAAGUAACUAGAAUAUGUAGUGUAGCGGUGAAAUGCUUAGAGAUUACAUGGAAUACCAAUUGCGAAGGCAGGUUACUACUAAUGGAUUGGCGCUGAUGGACGAAAGCGUGGGUAGCGAACAGGAUUAGAUACCCAAGUAGUCCCUGAGCGGGCUGGCAAGGCGCAU
RNAcentral lists this ribosomal RNA (467 nucleotides) under uncultured bacterium. RNAcentral's name for it is "bacterial SSU rRNA". It matches the Rfam family "Bacterial small subunit ribosomal RNA", at positions 355 to 825 of the family's 1533-position model. The record is from RNAcentral.